This 253-nucleotide unclassified non-coding RNA is filed under the name uncultured Gammaproteobacteria bacterium. RNAcentral describes it as "contains 16S-23S intergenic spacer region". It matches the Rfam family "Bacterial small subunit ribosomal RNA", at positions 524 to 776 of the family's 1533-position model. The record is from RNAcentral. Lineage: Bacteria; Pseudomonadati; Pseudomonadota; Gammaproteobacteria.
UACGUAGGGUGCAAGCGUUAAUCGGAAUUACUGGGCGUAAAGCGUGCGCAGGCGGUUUUGUAAGCCAGAUGUGAAAUCCCCGGGCUUAACCUGGGAACUGCAUUUGGGACUGCAAGGCUAGAGUACGGCAGAGGGGGGUGGAAUUCCACGUGUAGCAGUGAAAUGCGUAGAUAUGUGGAGGAACACCGAUGGCGAAGGCAGCCCCCUGGGCUAGUACUGACGCUCAGGCACGAAAGCGUGGGGAGCAAACAGG